Paramuricea clavata is the source of this 905-nucleotide non-coding RNA. The record is from the annotation of a GenBank genome assembly. Lineage: Eukaryota; Metazoa; Cnidaria; Anthozoa; Malacalcyonacea; Plexauridae.
CUACCACUAAGGUAAUCGGGCGGUUCAAGUGGAGCAUCCUCAUUUCGCAUAUGAUCUGUAUAUAAUUCUUCAAGUAAUUUACUCUUAUUGAUGCGUAUAUAAUUUUUAAGUAAUUUAUCCUUUUAGAUGAACUAUUUUACUGACCUUCACGAUCACAUAUUUCUGGAUUGUAUAGCCACAAAUUUGACUGACAAAGAAACGCUCGUUUUUAUGAAAAUUUUAUAUUCCAAAGAGGAAUGGUCCUUCAAACCGGAUUAGAACCAGUGACCUAGGGAUUAUUGCUGUCAACAACUACAGUCCCCCGCUCUACCAAUUGAGCUACCGAAGGAGAACUUGCACUUUAAAAAGCAUUAUAUCCGAUCAUUGUUUAAAAAGCAUUAUAUUCGAUCAUCAUUCACUCGAAUUUGUAUGUAUUCAGAAGAUGCUUAUUAUUCUUUUCAUCCAUGAUGUUCGAAAUUGGAACAAUACAACGGUGGGGAGUGUCCAAGCAUGCCACAUUUGGGGAAAUGAGUUCUGAAAAUGUGACAAGAAUGAUGAUGGAAAUGGCCUUUCACUGUAUUUCUAUCAUAUCUAACGCCUUAUAUUUCCGUCUAAAUUGCCGCCGUUUGAAUCCUGCAGUUAGUUCGUAUAGUGUUGUAAUAAUGUCAGGAAUUUUUGAAUUUCUCACUUGUUUUGAGAUGCCCAAAAAUCCUUAUAUUUUUCCAUAAACCUUACCAAUGCACUUGCUGUUUGAGUAUGACAACUGGACUCCGUAGCUCAGUUGGUUAGAGCGAUGCACUGGAUAUGCAGGGCCACAGGUUCGAUUUGUGCAAGAGGGCCUUUAGUUGAAUUUUUCGCAGCUGUUUCUGAUAAUUAAGGUCCAAAUAAAUGUAUAAAAUUUACACUCCAAUUUCCAUCUACAGAAC